UGGGGAAUCUUAGACAAUGGGCGCAAGCCUGAUCUAGCCAUGCCGCGUGAGUGAUGAAGGCCUUAGGGUUGUAAAGCUCUUUCAGCUGGGAAGAUAAUGACGGUACCAGCAGAAGAAGCCCCGGCUAACUCCGUGCCAGCAGCCGCGGUAAUACGGAGGGGGCUAGCGUUGUUCGGAAUUACUGGGCGUAAAGCGCACGUAGGCGGAUCGGAAAGUCAGAGGUGAAAUCCCAGGGCUCAACCUUGGAACUGCCUUUGAAACUCCUGGUCUUGAGUUCGAGAGAGGUGAGUGGAAUUCCGAGUGUAGAGGUGAAAUUCGUAGAUAUUCGGAGGAACACCAGUGGCGAAGGCGGCUCACUGGCUCGAUACUGACGCUGAGGUGCGAAAGCGUGGGGAGCAAACAGG
Molecule: ribosomal RNA, 404 nt
Filed under: uncultured bacterium
Lineage: Bacteria
Description: bacterial SSU rRNA
Rfam family: Bacterial small subunit ribosomal RNA
Source: RNAcentral